RNAcentral lists this ribosomal RNA (731 nucleotides) under uncultured bacterium. RNAcentral describes it as "bacterial SSU rRNA". It matches the Rfam family "Bacterial small subunit ribosomal RNA", at positions 168 to 887 of the family's 1533-position model. The record is from RNAcentral.
UCCCAUAACCAUGAGAGAACCCAAGUUCUCCCAUUAAAGUGGUUUCGACCAUACCUGAAGAUGGGGCUGCGUCCUAUUAGCUUGACGGUGAGGUAAAGGCUCACCGUGGCGAAGAUAGGUAGGGGGCCUGAGAGGGCGAUCCCCCACACUGGGACUGAGACACGGCCCAGACUCCUACGGGAGGCUGCAGUGGGGAAUCUUGCGCAAUGGUCGCAAGGCUGACGCAGCGACGCCGCGUGGAGGACGAAGGCCUUCGGGUUGUAAACUCCUUUUCUGGGGGAAGAAUAAGAUGAGUAGGCAAUGGCUCACCGAUGACGGUACCUCAGGAACAAGCGCCGGCUAACUUCGUGCCAGCAGCCGCGGUAAGACGAAGGGCGCAAGCGUUAUCCGGAAUUACUGGGCGUAAAGGGCGUCUAGGCGGUCAGUCAAGUCAGUCGUGAAAGUCCUUGGCUAAACUGAGGAAAGUCGACCGAUACUGAUUGACUAGAGGGACGUAGAGGGAAGCGGAACUCUCGGAGUAGCGGUGAAAUGCGUAGAGACCGAGAGGUACCUCGAUGGUGAAGACAGCUUCCUGGGCGUCUCCUGACGCUGAAGCGCUAAGGCCAGGGGAGCGAAGGGGAUUAGAUACCCCCGUAGUCCUGGCUUCAAACUAUGUGGGCUUGGUGUCGGCUCCCGAUAGAGAGUCGUUGCCGGAGCUAACGUGUUAAGCCCACCGCCUGGGGAUUACGUCC